AUGGCGGAGGAACUGUCCGCCAAGCGUCAUCAUGCUGAGACCUCGGACAAGAGCAGCAACCUCGUCGACAUUCACGUCCCCGGCGAGAAGCGCGAGUACACAACAACCCUCACAGGGGUUGAGCUCCACGGCAACGAGAAGCUGGAGAUCGUCUGCACCAGCGUACAAGAAAAGGCCGACGAAGUGAUCUCCAGGCUUUGGAAGAAGCUUGGCGGCAAGAGUCUGAAUCAUAGGAUCGUUAGCGUUGGUGUGCACUAUACCAACGAAGAUGAACCUCCCCAGAUGGCAGCAGUCCUGCAGUUGUGCAUCGAGGAGCUCUACUUGGUGUACCACAUCGCAGCGACCACAAAAUGGUGA
RNAcentral lists this ribosomal RNA (357 nucleotides) under Triticum aestivum (bread wheat). RNAcentral's name for it is "partial small subunit ribosomal RNA". Lineage: Eukaryota; Viridiplantae; Streptophyta; Magnoliopsida; Poales; Poaceae. The record is from RNAcentral.